UUUCGGCCAAGCUUUUGCAUGUCUUAAAGUUUUGCCAUUUGCAAAUGCCAGUUUUGGGCUGAAAACCCAAUUUUGGAGUUUGCCUGCUGGAAGAUGGCCCAACCGAGCAGCAAUCCUAUUCUGUGAACAAACGAAAACAAAACAAAACAAAAAAAAAAAAAAGCAAUCGUUGGGUUCAAACAGAAUCAGUCUAUACGGCUUUUAUUGGGGUGGUGGUUCCUCAGAGAUCCUCUCUCUCUCUCUCUCUCAAAAACCACUUUCCAAUUCCCUCACUCCAAAACCUCUCUCUUAUGUCCCAAAUUCAGACCACCGAAAACCUAACUUUCCACUGUUGAACUUUUCACCGUCUUCUAUCCAUUUUUUAUUUUAAUUUUUUUUCUAUUAUUGCGGAUCCUACUUCUGUGCUCUAGAGAUGGACAUUGAGCAAAAGCAAGAAGAGAUCAUCGAUCAUUUCGUGAAGCAAGCCUCGUCUCUCGAAGGCUCUGCCCUCGGGUCCCUCGUCGUCGAAGCCACCUCGCACCCUUCUCUCUUCGCCUUCUCCGAGAUUCUCGCCGUUCCUAAUGUUCUUCAGGUAAGAUAUAUUCAACUCCGUACCUAGCAAACUCGUAAAAUAUCUUUCUUUUUUUUUUGGAUGAGAUCCAAGGGUGUCCAUCGCCGACAGUAGUGACUAAUCCCUUUCGCCGCGGGAGCUCUCCAAAGGAGGUAAACAGCUGGUCACGAAAUGCGCUCCAUUCCCAUGGGCAGGGAUCGAACCCCCAACCACAUGGUUAAGGAAUGAGGUAAGGGGACAUAUUCAACUCAAUAGGUAUAAAUAUAAUCCCAUGCAAUUGUAUAUUUUCGAUACUGUUCUAGAAUACAUGCAAUUGUAUAGCCAUAUAUAUACUCGCAUUACACAGUAGAAUAGAAUAGAAUUCUAUCUAUUGGAUAGAGCAGUACUACUUUCAAACUUGGUGUAAAGGUAUGGACCCUUAAAUCCUUUUGGGGAAGCUUUUGACUCAAAUGUGAUUCAUAAAGCAUCCAAGUUUUAUAUUGGUAUGAGUACCUUAAUGGAAAUAUUUCUAAUAGACUUGCAGGAUGAAUUUGAGGUGAAGUGGUGUAACAACAUCUUGGCUAUGUCCCUUAAUAUUAAUGGAAGAAAACCAACUUUGAAAUGUCUGCAUUGUGAGAAUAUCUUGUCAGAUAUCCCUUUAUGGAAGAGGUCAGCUUUGUAUGUGUCUAUGCAUUGUGAUAUUUAGGCUGCACAGUCCUGUUCUCAUGGCGGUGGAUAAUUCUGCCUUUCUCUGUCAUGGUGGUGUGUUGUUUGGUUUCUCAGUUUUAUCUUAAAUGUUUUUUUGAUUUAUUUUUAAUAACCGAAAUAGUGUUUUGAUAUUGGAGAAGUAAAAAAUGAUGAUAU
Non-coding RNA from Prunus avium (sweet cherry), 1393 nucleotides. NCBI's taxonomy places the organism in Eukaryota, Viridiplantae, Streptophyta, Magnoliopsida, Rosales, Rosaceae. The record is from RefSeq and is a predicted model, not a curated record.